GAUGACUGUGCUCGCUUUGUACUAAAAUUGGAACGAGACAGAGAAGAUUAGCAUGGCCCCAGAGCAAGGAUAACAGGCAAAUUCGUGAAGCGUUCCAUAUUUAA
Molecule: small nuclear RNA, 104 nt
Organism: Ailuropoda melanoleuca (giant panda)
Lineage: Eukaryota; Metazoa; Chordata; Mammalia; Carnivora; Ursidae
Source: Ensembl